AAUGGACGGAAGUCUGAACCAGCCAUCCCGCGUGCAGGAUGAAGGUCCUAUGGAUUGUAAACUGCUUUUAGCAGAGACGAAACGCUUUCAUUUAUGAGAGUCUGACGGUAUCUGCAGAAUAAGCACCGGCUAACUCCGUGCCAGCAGCCGCGGUAAUACGGAGGGUGCAAGCGUUAUCCGGAAUCACUGGGUUUAAAGGGUGCGUAGGCGGGAAAUUAAGUCAGUGGUGAAAUCCUGUCGCUUAACGAUAGAACUGCCAUUGAUACUGAUUUUCUUGAAUUGGGUUGAGGUUAGCGGAAUGUGACAUGUAGCGGUGAAAUGCAUAGAUAUGUCAUGGAACACCAAUUGCGAAGGCAGCUAACUGGGCCUUGAUUGACGCUGAGGCACGAAAGCGUGGGUAGCGAA
This 405-nucleotide ribosomal RNA is filed under the name uncultured bacterium. RNAcentral describes it as "bacterial SSU rRNA". It matches the Rfam family "Bacterial small subunit ribosomal RNA", at positions 370 to 772 of the family's 1533-position model. The record is from RNAcentral.